UCUUUUCAUUGCAUUAGAGGACACUGCAACAAAUGAAUAGUUAAGUAAAAUUAUUGCAGCUACUCAUUAAUGGAUAGUUACCUAAUCCAAUUUAAUCUGUGUUUGGUAGUUAACUUGGCCACACUCUUGAAAUGUUCUCAGCUAAGGGACUGUAGUUCCCUUACAAAUUCAGAAAGUACUUGUUUUACUUAAAUCUGGACAUUUUCACUAACUCUUGUCUUCCUUUAGUCAACAAUG
Biomphalaria pfeifferi is the source of this 237-nucleotide non-coding RNA. The record is from the annotation of a GenBank genome assembly. Lineage: Eukaryota; Metazoa; Mollusca; Gastropoda; Planorbidae.